Molecule: long non-coding RNA, 463 nt
Organism: Chinchilla lanigera (long-tailed chinchilla)
Lineage: Eukaryota; Metazoa; Chordata; Mammalia; Rodentia; Chinchillidae
Exons: 3
Source: RefSeq, a predicted model, not a curated record
CAGAAAACAAAGGGAAGAGUGUCGUCAAGGAUGAACUCCAUGUGAGGCAGGCCAUGGUUAAGUUUGUUUUCAGGAAAAUACCUCCAGAAGGGUACAGUCCACCCGCCCAAGGGAACUGACAAGAAAAAGAGCUACUAGUCAUGAGAGAGAGGGUUGCCUUAGAAACUGUGAUGUUUUGUGGCUUCUUUUUGAAUGCUCUUUCUAUGGACCUGGAAUUUUACAUAAACUGAGACAUCUGUAAGCAAACUCUAAGUGCAAGAGAACAAUAAGGGUGUUGUCAGACAUUUGAAUGAGGCCAAAAAGAAAGUUGGGAAAAAUUCCUCUUUUAACAAUAUCCAUUAUUCUGAUUGUAACCAUUCUUCUCAACGUACAUGACUAUUUUAACAAAAGUACCAAAAAGUAAAAAGAAGCAAGUAAUCCCAACAGAGAGAGAUAAUUAUUACAAACAUUUGAUGUAUUUCUA